RNAcentral lists this ribosomal RNA (161 nucleotides) under uncultured bacterium. RNAcentral's name for it is "partial 16S rRNA". It matches the Rfam family "Bacterial small subunit ribosomal RNA", at positions 355 to 507 of the family's 1533-position model. The record is from RNAcentral.
UGGGGAAUAUUGCACAAUGGGCGCAAGCCCGAUGCAGCCAUGCCGCGUGUAUGAAGAAGGCCUUCGGGUUGUAAAGUACUUUCGGCGAGGAGGAAGGCAUUAAGGUUAAUAACCUUGGUGAUUGACGUUACUCGCAGGAAGAAGCACCGGCUAACUCCGUG